GAUGAAGAACGUAGCGAAAUGCGAUAAGUAGUGUGAAUCGCAGAAUUCAGUGAAUCAUCGAAUCUUUGAACGCACAUUGCGCCCUUUGGUAUUCCAAAGGGCAUGCCUGUUCGAGCGUCAUUUGUACCCUCAAGCUUUGCUUGGUGUUGGGCGUCUUGUCUCUAGCUUUGCUGGAGACUCGCCUUAAAGUAAUUGGCAGCCGGCCUACUGGUUUCGGAGCGCAGCACAAGUCGCACUCUCUAUCAGCAAAGGUCUAGCAUCCAUUAAGCCUUUUUUUCAACUUUUGACCUCGGAUCAGGUAGGGAUACCCGCUGAACUUAAGCAUAUCAAUAAGCGGAGGA
This 341-nucleotide unclassified non-coding RNA is filed under the name soil metagenome. RNAcentral's name for it is "partial contains 5.8S ribosomal RNA, internal transcribed spacer 2, and large subunit ribosomal RNA". The stretch from base 1 to 120 matches the Rfam family "5.8S ribosomal RNA", at positions 35 to 154 of the family's 154-position model. The record is from RNAcentral.